GAUGAACGCUGGCGGCGUGCUUAACACAUGCAAGUCGAACGGUGAAGGCGGAGCUUGCUCUGCUGGAUCAGUGGCGAACGGGUGAGUAACACGUGAGCAAUCUGCCCCUGACUCUGGGAUAAGCGCUGGAAACGGCGUCUAAUACUGGAUACGAGCUGCGAAGGCAUCUUCAGCAGCUGGAAAGAACUUCGGUCAGGGAUGAGCUCGCGGCCUAUCAGCUUGUUGGUGAGGUAACGGCUCACCAAGGCGUCGACGGGUAGCCGGCCUGAGAGGGUGACCGGCCACACUGGGACUGAGACACGGCCCAGACUCCUACGGGAGGCAGCAGUGGGGAAUAUUGCACAAUGGGCGAAAGCCGGAUGCAGCAACGCCGCGUGGGGGACGACGGCCUUCGGGUGGUAAACCUCUUUUAGCAGGGAAGAAGCGAAAGUGACGGUACCUGCAGAAAAGCGCCGGCUAACUACGUG
This 467-nucleotide ribosomal RNA is filed under the name uncultured bacterium. RNAcentral describes it as "partial 16S ribosomal RNA". It matches the Rfam family "Bacterial small subunit ribosomal RNA", at positions 28 to 507 of the family's 1533-position model. The record is from RNAcentral.